RNAcentral lists this ribosomal RNA (301 nucleotides) under uncultured bacterium. Its description in RNAcentral is "partial 16S ribosomal RNA". It matches the Rfam family "Bacterial small subunit ribosomal RNA", at positions 509 to 807 of the family's 1533-position model. The record is from RNAcentral.
CAGCCGCCGCGGGAAUACGUAGGUGGCAAGCGUUGUCCGGAAUUAUUGGGCGUAAAGGGCUCGCAGGCGGUUUCUUAAGUCUGAUGUGAAAGCCCCCGGCUCAACCGGGGAGGGUCAUUGGAAACUGGGAAACUUGAGUGCAGAAGAGGAGAGUGGAAUUCCACGUGUAGCGGUGAAAUGCGUAGAGAUGUGGAGGAACACCAGUGGCGAAGGCGAUUCUCUGGUCUGUAACUGACGCUGAGGAGCGAAAGCGUGGGGAGCGAACAGGAUUAGAUACCCCAGUAGUCCCUGUCUCUUAUAC